UUUUAUGUUAGAGCCCAAGAGGCUGACUGAGAGUUGGGAAGUUGGUCCCUGCAGCCUUCCUAUCACAGGCAGUGUCUAUGUAGCUCUCUGUCCUUGUCAAUCCAUAUGGGAGAGGAGGCAAGGAGUCCCCUGGCAGUAUCUCCUCACGUUCCUCAUACAUUGCAGACUUCGUUACUAUCCGGAAUCUCUACCUAGCUUGUGUGUUUUGCUAGACAAUGAUCCGAAGACUGUUUUGCAGCUGAGGUUGCUUCUCUUUACCUUAUGGAAAGAGAAGUCUUUAUGCUAUGGAAAAAGAAGUCUUUACGUUAUGGAAAGUAACCAUCCUGUUUUAGGCAGACAGAGGUUCACAUACGAAAGCAGCAAAGCUUUAUUGUUAACCUCAGGAAACCUGUUUGACAUACCACAGCAUAAUGCCAAGGGUGUUGUCUCUGUAAAACCUUUAUCUCAUAUCUUAACCCCUUCUGUACCUUUCUCAUCUUCAGAUUGUUGCCUGUCUUGAAUCUUUGUCCAAUAAAGCAGAGGCGUAUUUGUAUUC
This 535-nucleotide long non-coding RNA is filed under the name Rattus norvegicus (Norway rat). RNAcentral's name for it is "long non-coding RNA NONRATT001560". The record is from RNAcentral. Lineage: Eukaryota; Metazoa; Chordata; Mammalia; Rodentia; Muridae.